This 407-nucleotide ribosomal RNA is filed under the name uncultured bacterium. RNAcentral's name for it is "partial 16S ribosomal RNA". It matches the Rfam family "Bacterial small subunit ribosomal RNA", at positions 30 to 526 of the family's 1533-position model. The record is from RNAcentral.
AUUGAACGCUGGCGGCAGGCCUAACACAUGCAAGUCGAGCGGAGCGGCGGACGGGUGAGGAAUGCCUAGGAAUCUGCCUGGUAGUGGGGGAUAACGUCCGGAAACGGGCGCUAAUACAGCAUAAUAACAGAUGAGCAUAGGUCGGAUUAGCUAGUUGGUGGGGUAAAGGACUACCAAGGCGACGAUCCGUCACUGGUUUGAGCUGAUGAUAAGUCAAACUGGAACUUAGACACGGUCCAGACGCCGACGGGAGGCAGCAGUGGGGAAUAUUGGACAAUGGGCGAAAGCCUGCUACAGCCAUGCCGCGUGUGUGAAGAAGGUCUUCGGAUUGGAAAGCACUUUAAGUUGUGAGGCGUUACCAACAGAAUAAGCACCGGCUAACUUCGUGCCAGCCGCCGCGGUAAUUC